UACGAAGGGUGCAAGCGUUACUCGGAAUUACUGGGCGUAAAGGGUGCGUAGGCUGUUAGUUAAGUCUGUCGUGAAAUCCCCGGGCUCAACCUGGGAAUGGCGAUGGAUACUGGCUAGCUAGAGUGUGUCAGAGGAUGGUGGAAUUCCCGGUGUAGCGGUGAAAUGCGUAGAGAUCGGGAGGAACAUCAGUGGCGAAGGCGGCCAUCUGGGACAACACUGACGCUGAAGCACGAAAGCGUGGGGAGCAAACAGG
Molecule: ribosomal RNA, 253 nt
Filed under: uncultured bacterium
Lineage: Bacteria
Description: partial 16S ribosomal RNA
Rfam family: Bacterial small subunit ribosomal RNA
Source: RNAcentral